AACGCACGAGACCUGCGGACCUGCGGAGGGAUCAUUACCGAGUUUACAACUCCCAAACCCAAUGUGAACCAUACCAAACUGUUGCCUCGGCGGGGUCACGCCCCGGGUGCGUCGCAGCCCCGGAACCAGGCGCCCGCCGGAGGGACCAACCAAACUCUUUUCUGUAGUCCCCUCGCGGACGUUAUUUCUUACAGCUCUGAGCAAAAAUUCAAAAUGAAUCAAAACUUUUAACAAUGGAUC
RNAcentral lists this unclassified non-coding RNA (240 nucleotides) under soil metagenome. Its description in RNAcentral is "partial contains 5.8S ribosomal RNA, internal transcribed spacer 2, and large subunit ribosomal RNA". The record is from RNAcentral.